Molecule: long non-coding RNA, 740 nt
Organism: Rosa chinensis
Lineage: Eukaryota; Viridiplantae; Streptophyta; Magnoliopsida; Rosales; Rosaceae
Exons: 3
Source: RefSeq, a predicted model, not a curated record
CAUCCACAUGGAUGAGUUCUUUAGUUAUUUGUACUAGUCACUUAUGAAAAAUCAAAAGUUUCUUAACAUUUCUAUGUAGUCAUUUUUUAAGGAAUAGGAACAAAUGACUGGCAAUGGUGAGGUGUGGUGGAUAGUAAUUUGAUGAACAAUAGGUCUUAUUUUACUCUUUGUUGGAUUUUUUUUUUCUAUUUUAGACUUUCAAGGAAGCCCCAGACGGUUUGUAGAGGUAUUGUCUAGCUCCCAACCACAGAAUUUGUAGUUUCACUUUUGAGAUCCUAAAUAUGUGUGACUAUAUAAGCAUGCAAGACAUUCAAAAAUUGGAGACUUGGUUGAUUAUGAUGCAAUUCAUAUAUCCCUAUUGACUACAAAAACAAGCAUCAGAGUACUUGGUUGUUCAAACUUCAAACAGGUAUGGUGAGCAAUGCAAGGAUACUCCUCCAGCCCAGGAACCCAUGAGUACUUCUAUAUAUAACGACGGAAGAAGUGCUAGCUGGCCCUACUUGGCUACAAAUCUUAUGGUAUACACCAUAAAUGUUAAGUUUCGUAACAAUUGCUGUAUAUUUCAAGGAAGAUUAUAAAAGGCUACCUUAAGGCACGCUUUCUGCCUAGGCGUAGGCUUAAAUGCAGCGAUUGCUCUGGUAAAAUCAUGCAGGCGCAAAAAGUGCACAGUAGGAGGGAAAAGCUUAAGCCUCAGUAAGUCUGCUGUAGUUCGGUUGAUGUAGAACUCAGGCUCCUUGAAA